Molecule: ribosomal RNA, 336 nt
Filed under: Anomisma abnorme
Lineage: Eukaryota; Metazoa; Arthropoda; Insecta; Odonata; Coenagrionidae
Description: partial 12S ribosomal RNA
Source: RNAcentral
GUAUUAGUUACGUUCUUGAAACUUAAAAAAUUUUGGCGGUAUUUUAUCUCUUCUCAGAGGAACCUGUCCUUUAAUUGAUAUUCCACGAUUUUACUUACUUAUAUUUGUAUACAAUUUUUAUAUCUCCGUCAUAAGAAGAUUUUUGUAGGAAGAAUUUUCUUUAUUAUUAAAUGUAGAAAUGUCAGGUCAAGGUGAGAUUUAUGUAUAAGUAGAGAUGGGUUACAAUAAAUUUAUUUAUACGGAUGGUCUGUUUUAUAUUUGAUUUGAAGGAGGAUUUGAUAGUAAAUUUAUUUUUUUGGUUUUUUGAUAUUAGCUCUGAAAUGUGCACACAUCGCC